CUGCGGAAGGAUCAUUGUCGAGACCCAAGCAAACAAGGAAUGAUCGGCAAACCUGUCAAUCAAAUGCAUCGUGUGUCGGCGGGGCGCGCGAGGCAUGGGAGCACUCGUUUGUUUCCCUCCUCGCCGCCCCCGUCGAACGGAUGUUGUCAUGCCACCGCUCCCCAUCGGGGACGGAGGAGGCGUACGGACAAACCCGGCACGGCACGUGCCAAGGACCUUCCUCGCCCACGCGGGCGAUAAUGAAAAGUUGUAUUCAAUACGACUCUCGGCAACGGAUAUCUAGGCUCUCGCAUCGAUGAAGAACGUAGCGAAAUGCGAUACUUGGUGUGAAUUGCAGAAUCCCGUGAACCAUCGAGUCUUUGAACGCAAGUUGCGCCCGAGACCUCUCGGUCGAGGGCACGCCUGCCUGGGCGUCAUGCCUCGCGUCGCUCCGUGAGCCCAGUGCAUCGGGGUACCACGGAAGCGGAGAUUGACCCACCGUGCCUCUUUCGGCGCGGCGGGUUGAAGAACGGGUUGCCGACGGGGCACAGGGACACGACGAGUGGUGGACGGAGAGUCUUCUAGCCGUGGCCGACGUCGUUCCCCUCCCUCGGCAUCUGCCCCCAUAAACGCCGAACGGGGCCUCUCGUUCGGUAAGAAAGGGACCCACGAUGGGUGGUUUAUCGUCGGCGGUGCCAUCCCCUCGCGUUGCGACCCCAGGUCAGGCGGGAAACA
RNAcentral lists this ribosomal RNA (714 nucleotides) under Hexapterella gentianoides. Its description in RNAcentral is "eukaryotic LSU rRNA". The stretch from base 261 to 416 matches the Rfam family "5.8S ribosomal RNA". Lineage: Eukaryota; Viridiplantae; Streptophyta; Magnoliopsida; Dioscoreales; Burmanniaceae. The record is from RNAcentral.